Molecule: long non-coding RNA, 4758 nt
Filed under: Daucus carota (carrot)
Lineage: Eukaryota; Viridiplantae; Streptophyta; Magnoliopsida; Apiales; Apiaceae
Description: long non-coding RNA (DCAR_LNC006781)
Source: RNAcentral
UGUGAUAAGUGGUAUUUAUACACACUUAUAGGCCUUCAUUUCCACUUAAAUUGAUUGGUUGUACUUAAGUGUUUAGUGUCUUUUGAUGUGUUUUUAGUGUUUUUCUGUGCAGGUCACGAGUUGAGGUGAUGAAGUGAUUUUCUAUCAUUUUAGGUUGUUUUUGGUGCAUUAUUUGCAAGAAUAGAGAAUUGUGGAUUCAUCAAGACUUGGGAUUUUGUGGGUACAUCUUCUACAAACCCUCACGAGAACACACUCGUCCACUAGAGCUAUCUAGGGGUUUAAAGGGCUUGUUGCAUGUGCUAAAUGCAACCGUGAUCACCUACGGAAGUGGUACUAGAGCGAGGAAGGGCAUGCACGCGAGAACGAGCUAAAAAACGAAGAAACGGGCUGCCAGUGGCAGACAGUAGCGCGCCCGCGCUAAAGCUUAGCGCGCCCGCGCUAGCUACUGUCCCCACUAGCGCGCCUGCGCUAGUUUAGCGCGGCCGCGCCCAGCAGAAGUGUCCCGGGCCGAUUUUUGAAGCUUUUCUGAUGGAUUUUAGCAGCGGUCGAGGCCCGGUUGACUUGGUCAAUGUACUUUAUUUUCUCAUGUGUAAAACCCUAGCCUCGAAGAAGUAGUUUUGUAUCGUAGAAUAUCGGAUUAUAGUUUUAUCAGUUUUUCUCUUGUAAUCAAGCACAUUAUCAGUUUUGUAUUGGAUCGUUCUUCGCGAGGAAGUGACAGUUUCGAGCGAGAUCGUGAACAUCAAAUCUGUAACGUUGUGUUCUUUAUUAUUAAUUCAAGUACUUUUAUUCCGUUUAAUUCUCGUAGUUUAUUUAUCAUGUUUUCAUUAGAACCCAUGAUGUCGAUUAGUUCGAUAAUGAACUAACCGCCUUCAUGGGAUUCUAAUGGAUUUAUCGAUGUAGUCUAGUAACGAAUAUUAAUUACUUGAUUUUGUGACGUAUGUUGAUUUCUUUGCAUGAGCCGUGCUUAUUCUUCUUAGGAGCGUAGCUAACUUCUAAGUUGUUUGUUAAUUCUUUCUGAAGCGAGAGUGGAUGAUUGAAUUUAGAACUAUGCCAUGCAAACAUAGGAUUAUGUGAAUGAAACAUAAUUUGUGGUAGACUUGAACUAUUUUUAUCACCCUGUGUAAUCACGAUAGAUGACUUGCUAUUAAACCUCUCUGCUUACACUACCGCUAUAGAGAUAUAGGGUCUGAGCUUUGUUGGUGUCCAUGAGAUUUCUGUCUUAAUUGCGGAUUUUGAUUGGUAUGAUAUGUGUGCAACGAGAGUUGGCAUGUAUUACUUUCGUGUUGUCUGAUUAGGAUCAACAGUCGCAUGUUAAUCAGUAAUUUCAAUUCUAGAUGAAUUCGAUAAUGAAGUUAGAAUCCCAUGUGUUUUCCUAUUCUGAAUUUGAUUAGUAAUUUUAAUUAUUAGUAUAAAAGAACCCAAUCCUUGUUAAUUGUCUUAGCAGUGAUAAUUGAUCAUACAUUGUUGCAUAGGUGCGUAUUCUUAAUUCACCAGUCUCUGUGGGAUCGAACUUAAUAUAUUACUUGUGAUCGCGUGCGCUUGCGUGUAGAUUUUUGCGAACACUAUUCCAAAUCAGAAGUUAAGACUAGGAAUACUAGAUUUAGACCAGAAAAUCCUUGUUUUCAUUGUGGUAGUUUAUGGCAUUCCAUCUAUACUUGUAAGGAAUACCAUAGUUUAUACUAUGAUUAUUAUGAAUUGAAACCUUCUUUGAAGAAAAAGAAUUGAUUCUCCUGGUUUAAAAUUUAGUUGAAAAAGUACUGUUAACACAAACUCUGAUAAAUCUUCCGCUGCCAAAGUCGAUACCUUUGCACUUCUAUCUUCCAUAGUUGAGGCAUAUUCGUCGAAAGCUACAGAGCCGACCUUGUAUCCGAUGAGUGUCGAUGAGAUGUCACAAGUUGCCCCUACAACAUACAGCUUCUGUCAAGUUUGUGGUGUUCAGGGUCACUAUAGUUAUGAAUGCUCUUAUAACCACUUCAACUCUCAGAAUACUCAGUCGGGACAUGGAUAUAAUUAUCAAGAAGGAUAUGAGUACAAUCAGUAUUCUAAUUCCUAUGAUCAAGAAUGGAUGGAUCAACCAGAUUUCUCUUACAUGGACAACAAUUUUGGUGAUUUCCCAUAUCAUGGUCAACAUCAAUUUCAAGAACAAAAAUUUCAGCAACAAUGUUAUGAAGAACCUCCAAUGCAACAAUAUGAUCAGUUUGAGCAACAGUAUUAUCAGCCUCAAUAUGAGCAACCACAAUCUCAACAGUAUCAAUAUCCUCAAGUACAAGAGCUACAGGUUCCUCAACCCACUGUAGAAGUGCUUUCUGAUCAAACAAAUGAGGUAUAUGAUAUGUUGGUAAACAUAAACAAGACGCUUAAGGAACUCAAAGCUACACAACUGAUGAUGGAGGCUCGACUUGAGCGGUUAGCUAGUUCUUUUACUGUCGAACAACCCGAUUCUUCUCCACUUAUAGCCACCCAAGUUGAAGAUGACAUAAAUGCUACCAUUCUUACAAAUGAUGGAGAUUGUGAUAGUUUUUCGACCUGGGAUGAUGAUGUGCCUAUUAAUAAAGAGGAAGAUCGUGUCGCUGACGGCAAAAUCGAUGAAGUUGUUGUUGUGGACCGUGUGGGCGAUGAUGAGGUGCGUGAAAAAAGCAAUAUCGAGUUGAUCGUAGUUUCUCCUACACCAGGUGUGCUUGAAUUACAUUUCCUGAAGGGGAUUAGCUCAAUCAAGGUUGCUCCAUGUUCUGAUAUUGAAAAUUUGGCUUUCAAUCCAACCUCUACCCCUAUACUUGAGAGUACAUGUUUUAAAGCUGACAUGAUGAUUGUCCAAGAUGAUCUUACACAAAAUCUGGUGGGUUAUCCAGUCCAAAAGGCUCUUACACUUCAACUCUUGGAAAAAGAGGAUAGCAAUUUCAUCUCUUUAUUCAGUGACAUGAAAGGCCAAGAAGUUCUUAUGACUCCUGUGAAAGUGAAGAGUUCUGAAAAACCACCACCCGAGCCUCCACCUUGUGUGAAAGUCGAAGGAGUUCGGUCCUUUAAUGGAUGUGAAUUUUUUCGUUGUUUUAUCACAAAGUUCUCUGAAAGUAUAAAUGUCGAUCAAUGGUUACUUCUUGAAGUGACAAUUAAGUUUACUAACGUUUGUUUGGAGACUUUCUGCAGGACAAAGACAAUAUUUGAUGCUCUUGAUUUUAUUUGUGGUGGCGAGAUUUUGUUUGAGAAAGUAGAUACCCCAUUUCUUAAACCUAAGCAAUAUCCUCCACCGGAUUCACCUCCGGCAGAGGAGGGGGAGGACUCCGAUUAGGUACGUGUUUGCUCUAGCCUUUUUAUCACUUUCAAUGGGGACAUUGAAAAUUUUAAGUUUGGGGGUGGUAAUCUAAGGAAGAGCAUAUUAUUAUAAUGUAGUUUAUUAUUGCAUGUGUUAGUUAGUUCAUGUAGUUCACGUUUAUUUUAUUUUGCUUUGAUUAUUUCUCACGUUUUUUUUAUUUUUCUCACGUUUUUUUCUAUUUUUCUCAAUUUUUUUUUAUUUUACAUGUUUAGUAGUAAUUGUAGUAGUUAGUAUCACGAGCAUUUGCAUGAAUUAUGAAGUUAAGCCAAGUUAAUUGCCUAUGAUGAGUUAUGUGCGUAGUUCUUGAUUAGUAGUUUCAAUUGCAAUGCUAGGUUAGUACUUGGAAAUUGCUUGUGUUGGAAAUUGUAAUUCACAUAUGUUCUUGAGAUAGGAUUUAGACGAAAUUCCAUGAAUUCUAGGAUUGAAUUGAACACCCUUCAGCUUAGGUCUGUAAAUCUUAAGUUUGGGGGAACUGAGGAGUAGAUAUACCUUUCUAAAAAGAAAAAUAUAGAAAAAGAAUAGAAAAAAAAAGAGUAGUAAAAUAAAAUUCACUAGAAAAAUAAGUGGUAGAAUUAACUAGGUUCAGCUCAUUAGUACUCGCGUGAUUAAGUCUGAGGGGACUUUGUGCCUAACAACCUAAAGCCCUUCGUGGUUUGGGAUUGUUGACCCAACGCUCGCUACAUGGGUACUAGUGCAUAAAUCUUUAGGGAUCUCAACCAUUGCACGGUUAAAUAAAACACUAGAAUAGAGUGAAAAAUUGGUGUGUGAAGUCUUGUGGUGUUCGUGACGCAUUUACACUGCGAAGCGCUCUGACCUUAGACCAAGCAAUUAAUCACCAAUAAAAAGAAAAAAAAAAUAUAGUGAAUAAAAUAGAAGGGUGUGGACAUUCUUUGGGACCUUGGCUUUUAGUUGGACUUGAGUGACGGGGUGUUAGUUUUAAACUUUUACGAUUCUUGAUUGGGAUUCUGUGGGAGUAGUAGUUUUUGUCUUGUCUCAAUAAAAGAGCAUGCUUGCACACACUGGCACUCCACACUUGUAAAUAGAAGAGUAAUUGACUUAGUAGCGAGAGAGAUGAAAUUCGAGAACAUUAGCACAAUCUGAGGUAUUAUAAUUGGCAAGGCAAUUACUUCAUAGUUCACUCAUUCAUCACGUAGUUGCAUUCAUGCAUUGCAUUGUAUUAUUGUAUAGUGUCGUUGACGCUUGAGGACAAGCAUCAGUUUAAGUUUGGGGGUGUGAUAAGUGGUAUUUAUACACACUUAUAGGCCUUCAUUUCCACUUAAAUUGGUUGGUUGUACUUAAGUGUUUAGUGUCUUUUGAUGUGUUUUUAGUGUUUUUCUGUGCAGGUCACGAGUUGAGGUGAUGAAGUGAUUUUCUAUCAUUUUAGGUUGUUUUUGGUGCAUUAUUUGCAAGAAUAGAGAAUUGUGGAUUCAUCACGACUUGGGAUUUUG